Molecule: ribosomal RNA, 465 nt
Filed under: Vreelandella stevensii
Lineage: Bacteria; Pseudomonadati; Pseudomonadota; Gammaproteobacteria; Oceanospirillales; Halomonadaceae
Description: partial 16S ribosomal RNA
Rfam family: Bacterial small subunit ribosomal RNA
Source: RNAcentral
CCUACGGGAGGCUGCAGUGGGGAAUAUUGGACAAUGGGGGGAACCCUGAUCCAGCCAUGCCGCGUGUGUGAAGAAGGCCCUCGGGUUGUAAAGCACUUUCAGUGAGGAAGAACGCCUGGUGGUUAAUACCCAUCAGGAAAGACAUCACUCACAGAAGAAGCACCGGCUAACUCCGUGCCAGCAGCCGCGGUAAUACGGAGGGUGCGAGCGUUAAUCGGAAUUACUGGGCGUAAAGCGCGCGUAGGUGGCUUGAUAAGCCGGUUGUGAAAGCCCCGGGCUCAACCUGGGAACGGCAUCCGGAACUGUCAAGCUAGAGUGCAGGAGAGGAAGGUAGAAUUCCCGGUGUAGCGGUGAAAUGGGUAGAGAUCGGGAGGAAUACCAGUGGCGAAGGCGGCCUUCUGGACUGACACUGACACUGAGGUGCGAAAGCGUGGGUAGCAAACAGGAUUAGAUACCCCUGUAGUC